This 250-nucleotide ribosomal RNA is filed under the name uncultured bacterium. RNAcentral describes it as "partial 16S ribosomal RNA". It matches the Rfam family "Bacterial small subunit ribosomal RNA", at positions 30 to 280 of the family's 1533-position model. The record is from RNAcentral.
AUUGAACGCUGGCGGCAGGCCUAACACAUGCAAGUCGAGCGGUAGAGAGAAGCUUGCUUCUCUUGAGAGCGGCGGACGGGUGAGUAAUGCCUAGGAAUCUGCCUGGUAGUGGGGGAUAACGUUCGGAAACGGACGCUAAUACCGCAUACGUCCUACGGGAGAAAGCAGGGGACCUUCGGGCCUUGCGCUAUCAGAUGAGCCUAGGUCGGAUUAGCUAGUUGGUGGGGUAAUGGCUCACCAAGGCGACGAU